This 1509-nucleotide ribosomal RNA is filed under the name Helicobacter pylori. RNAcentral describes it as "bacterial SSU rRNA". It matches the Rfam family "Bacterial small subunit ribosomal RNA". Lineage: Bacteria; Pseudomonadati; Campylobacterota; Epsilonproteobacteria; Campylobacterales; Helicobacteraceae. The record is from RNAcentral.
UUUAUGGAGAGUUUGAUCCUGGCUCAGAGUGAACGCUGGCGGCGUGCCUAAUACAUGCAAGUCGAACGAUGAAGCUUCUAGCUUGCUAGAAUGCUGAUUAGUGGCGCACGGGUGAGUAACGCAUAGGUCAUGUGCCUCUUAGUUUGGGAUAGCCAUUGGAAACGAUGAUUAAUACCAGAUACUCCCUACGGGGGAAAGAUUUAUCGCUAAGAGAUCAGCCUAUGUCCUAUCAGCUUGUUGGUAAGGUAAUGGCUUACCAAGGCUAUGACGGGUAUCCGGCCUGAGAGGGUGAACGGACACACUGGAACUGAGACACGGUCCAGACUCCUACGGGAGGCAGCAGUAGGGAAUAUUGCUCAAUGGGGGAAACCCUGAAGCAGCAACGCCGCGUGGAGGAUGAAGGUUUUAGGAUUGUAAACUCCUUUUGUUAGAGAAGAUAAUGACGGUAUCUAACGAAUAAGCACCGGCUAACUCCGUGCCAGCAGCCGCGGUAAUACGGAGGGUGCAAGCGUUACUCGGAAUCACUGGGCGUAAAGAGCGCGUAGGCGGGAUAGUCAGUCAGGUGUGAAAUCCUAUGGCUUAACCAUAGAACUGCAUUUGAAACUACUAUUCUAGAGUGUGGGAGAGGUAGGUGGAAUUCUUGGUGUAGGGGUAAAAUCCGUAGAGAUCAAGAGGAAUACUCAUUGCGAAGGCGACCUGCUGGAACAUUACUGACGCUGAUUGCGCGAAAGCGUGGGGAGCAAACAGGAUUAGAUACCCUGGUAGUCCACGCCCUAAACGAUGGAUGCUAGUUGUUGGAGGGCUUAGUCUCUCCAGUAAUGCAGCUAACGCAUUAAGCAUCCCGCCUGGGGAGUACGGUCGCAAGAUUAAAACUCAAAGGAAUAGACGGGGACCCGCACAAGCGGUGGAGCAUGUGGUUUAAUUCGAAGAUACACGAAGAACCUUACCUAGGCUUGACAUUGAGAGAAUCCGCUAGAAAUAGUGGAGUGUUUGGCUUGCCAGACCUUGAAAACAGGUGCUGCACGGCUGUCGUCAGCUCGUGUCGUGAGAUGUUGGGUUAAGUCCCGCAACGAGCGCAACCCCCUUUCUUAGUUGCUAACAGGUUAUGCUGAGAACUCUAAGGAUACUGCCUCCGUAAGGAGGAGGAAGGUGGGGACGACGUCAAGUCAUCAUGGCCCUUACGCCUAGGGCUACACACGUGCUACAAUGGGGUGCACAAAGAGAAGCAAUACUGCGAAGUGGAGCCAACCUUCAAAACACCUCUCAGUUCGGAUUGUAGGCUGCAACUCGCCUGCAUGAAGCUGGAAUCGCUAGUAAUCGCAAAUCAGCCAUGUUGCGGUGAAUACGUUCCCGGGUCUUGUACUCACCGCCCGUCACACCAUGGGAGUUGUGUUUGCCUUAAGUCAGGAUGCUAAAUUGGCUACUGCCCACGGCACACACAGCGACUGGGGUGAAGUCGUAACAAGGUAACCGUAGGUGAACCUGCGGUUGGAUCACCUCCUUUCUAGA